This 442-nucleotide ribosomal RNA is filed under the name uncultured Acidimicrobiales bacterium. RNAcentral's name for it is "bacterial SSU rRNA". It matches the Rfam family "Bacterial small subunit ribosomal RNA", at positions 338 to 795 of the family's 1533-position model. The record is from RNAcentral. Lineage: Bacteria; Bacillati; Actinomycetota; Acidimicrobiia; Acidimicrobiales.
CCUACGGGGGGCUGCAGUGGGGAAUCUUGCACAAUGGGCGAAAGCCUGAUGCAGCAACGCCGCGUGAGGGACGAAGGCUUUCUGAGUUGUAAACCUCUUUCAGCAGGGACGAUUAUGACGGUACCUGCAGAAGAAGCACCGGCCAACUACGUGCCAGCAGCCGCGGUAAUACGUAGGGUGCAAGCGUUGUCCGGAUUUAUUGGGCGUAAAGAGCUCGUAGGCGGUUUGGCAAGUCGGAUGUGAAACCUCCAGGCUAAACCUGGAGUCGCCAUUCGAUACUGCCAUGACUAGAGUUUGGUAGGGGACCACGGAAUUCCUGGUGUAGCGGUGAAAUGCGCAGAUAUCAGGAGGAACACCAGCGGCGAAGGCGGUGGUCUGGGCCAAUACUGACGCUGAGGAGCGAAAGCGUGGGGAGCGAACAGGAUUAGAUACCCGUGUAGUC